This 87-nucleotide transfer RNA is filed under the name Anaerotruncus massiliensis (ex Togo et al. 2026). Its description in RNAcentral is "Anaerotruncus massiliensis (ex Togo et al. 2019) tRNA-Leu". It matches the Rfam family "tRNA". From Rfam's summary of the family: Transfer RNA (tRNA) molecules are approximately 80 nucleotides in length. Their secondary structure includes four short double-helical elements and three loops (D, anti-codon, and T loops). Further hydrogen bonds mediate the characteristic L-shaped molecular structure. tRNAs have two regions of fundamental functional importance: the anti-codon, which is responsible for specific mRNA codon recognition, and the 3' end, to which the tRNAs corresponding amino acid is attached (by aminoacyl-tRNA synthetases). tRNAs cope with the degeneracy of the genetic code in two manners: having more than one tRNA (with a specific anti-codon) for a particular amino acid; and 'wobble' base-pairing, i.e. permitting non-standard base-pairing at the 3rd anti-codon position. RNAcentral also lists the same sequence under 7 other names. The record is from RNAcentral. Lineage: Bacteria; Bacillati; Bacillota; Clostridia; Eubacteriales; Oscillospiraceae.
GCCGGUAUGAUGGAAUUGGCAGACGUGACGGACUCAAAAUCCGUUGGUAGCGAUACCGUGCCGGUUCGACCCCGGCUACCGGCACCA